This 432-nucleotide ribosomal RNA is filed under the name uncultured bacterium. Its description in RNAcentral is "partial 16S ribosomal RNA". It matches the Rfam family "Bacterial small subunit ribosomal RNA", at positions 29 to 506 of the family's 1533-position model. The record is from RNAcentral.
AACGAACGCUGGCGGCAUGCCUAACACAUGCAAGUCGAACGAGACCUUCGGGUCUAGUGGCGCACGGGUGCGUAACGCGUGGGAACCUGCCCUUAGGUUCGGAAUAACUCCCCGAAAGGGGUGCUAAUACCGGAUAAUGUCUUCGGACCAAAGAUUUAUCGCCUUUGGAUGGGCCCGCGUUGGAUUAGCUAGUUGGUAGGGUAAAAGCCUACCAAGGCGACGAUCCAUAGCUGGUCUGAGAGGAUGAUCAGCCACACUGGGACUGUGACACGGCCCAGACUCCUACGGGAGGCAGCAGUGGGGAAUAUUGGACAAUGGGCGAAAGCCUGAUCCAGCAAUGCCGCGUGAGUGAUGAAGGCCUUAGGGUUGUAAAGCUCUUUUACCCGGGAUGAUAAUGACAGUACCGGGAGAAUAAGCUCCGGCUAACUCCGU